UGCCGCGUGUGUGAAGAAGGCCUUCGGGUUGUAAAGCACUUUCAGACGUGAGGAAAAGCUAAGUAUUAAUACUAUUUAGCCCUGACGUUAACGUCAGAAGAAGCACCGGCUAACUCCGUGCCAGCAGCCGCGGUAAUACGGAGGGUGCAAGCGUUAAUCGGAAUUACUGGGCGUAAAGCGCGCGUAGGCGGUUAUUUAAGUCAGAUGUGAAAUCCCUGGGCUCAACCUAGGAACUGCAUUUGAUACUGGAUAGCUAGAGUAUGGUAGAGGUGAGUGGAAUUUCAGGUGUAGCGGUGAAAUGCGUAGAGAUCUGAAGGAACAUCAGUGGCGAAGGCGACUCACUGGGCCAUUACUGACGCUGAGGUGCGAAAGCGUGGGUAGCAAACAGGAUUAGAUACCCUGGUAGUCCACGCCCUAAACGAUGUCAACUAGGUGUAUGGAACUUUAUGUUCUGUGUAUCGAAGCUAACGCGAUAAGUUGACCGCCUGGGGAGUACGGCCGCAAGGCUAAAACUCAAAUGAAUUGACGGGGGCCCGCACAAGCGGUGGAGCAUGUGGUUUAAUUCGAUGCAACGCGAAGAACCUUACCUGGUCUUGACAUGUAGCGAACUUUCCAGAGAUGG
This 622-nucleotide ribosomal RNA is filed under the name uncultured bacterium. RNAcentral's name for it is "bacterial SSU rRNA". It matches the Rfam family "Bacterial small subunit ribosomal RNA", at positions 395 to 1009 of the family's 1533-position model. The record is from RNAcentral.